RNAcentral lists this non-coding RNA (95 nucleotides) under uncultured Butyricicoccus sp. RNAcentral describes it as "TPP riboswitch (THI element)". It matches the Rfam family "TPP riboswitch aptamer (THI element)", at positions 8 to 91 of the family's 105-position model. Rfam says of the family: Vitamin B(1) in its active form thiamin pyrophosphate (TPP) is an essential coenzyme that is synthesised by coupling of pyrimidine and thiazole moieties in bacteria. The previously detected thiamin-regulatory element, thi box was extended, resulting in a new, highly conserved RNA secondary structure, the THI element, which is widely distributed in eubacteria and also occurs in some archaea. The record is from RNAcentral. Lineage: Bacteria; Bacillati; Bacillota; Clostridia; Eubacteriales; Butyricicoccaceae.
CAACUGGGGAGCCGCGGCAAGCGGCUGAGAGUGGAAUGUUAUGCUUCCUUACUCAUUGAACCUGUUACGGUUAGCACCGGCGUAGGGAGUUUUGA